GAUCCUGGCUCAGAACGAACGCUGGCGGCGCGUUUAAGCAUGCAAGUCGAGCGGCAAGGGCCUUCGGGCCCCUAGAGCGGCGGACGGGUGAGUAACACGUGGACAAUCCUGCCCCCCGGCCCGGGAUAGCCCAGGGAAACCUGGAUUAAUACCGGAUGAGACGGGACCCGCGAUGGCGGGAUCCGGGAAAGGCGCUGCGGCGCCGCCGGGGGAUGAGUCUGCGUCCCAUUAGCUAGACGGCGGGGUAACGGCCCACCGUGGCGACGAUGGGUAGCCGGCCUGAGAGGGUGGACGGCCACAUUGGAACUGAGACACGGUCCAGACUCCUACGGGAGGCAGCAGCUAAGAAUCUUCCGCAAUGGGCGAAAGCCUGACGGAGCCGACGCCGCGUGAACGAAGAAGGCCGUGAGGUUGUAAAGGUUCUUUUCGGGAGGGGGAACAACCGUGGCAGGGAAUGGCCGCGGGAUGACGUGAAUCCCGGAAUAAGCCCCGGCUAACUACGUGCCAGCCGCGGC
Molecule: ribosomal RNA, 515 nt
Filed under: uncultured bacterium
Lineage: Bacteria
Description: bacterial SSU rRNA
Rfam family: Bacterial small subunit ribosomal RNA
Source: RNAcentral